Molecule: non-coding RNA, 91 nt
Organism: Canis lupus familiaris (dog)
Lineage: Eukaryota; Metazoa; Chordata; Mammalia; Carnivora; Canidae
Source: Rfam
GGGGGGAGGUCGGAUCCUGGGCUGUGUCCCCCGCGCCCUGUGCUCCCGGGCCUGCGCUGUUGGAUUCACGCUCCCAGCCGGGCAGCCCCCU